Molecule: non-coding RNA, 145 nt
Filed under: Schistosoma mansoni
Lineage: Eukaryota; Metazoa; Platyhelminthes; Trematoda; Strigeidida; Schistosomatidae
Source: RNAcentral
UCUUGACCGUAGCUGCUACCUUGACGUGGUGGUCGGGCUUACCUAUCGUGAUGACCCAACCGAGCUAUAUUGGCCGGAACAUAUGUUCCUGUAGGUUCUACCAUGCCAGGUAGGUCGAUUGGAGAACGGUAAGACUAAAAGCAAC